This 332-nucleotide ribosomal RNA is filed under the name uncultured bacterium. Its description in RNAcentral is "bacterial SSU rRNA". It matches the Rfam family "Bacterial small subunit ribosomal RNA", at positions 29 to 361 of the family's 1533-position model. The record is from RNAcentral.
AUUGAACGCUGGCGGCAUGCUUUACACAUGCAAGUCGAGCGGCAGCGCGGGAGCAAUCCUGGCGGCGAGCGGCGAACGGGUGAGUAAUAGAUAGGAACGUGUCCGGGAGUGGGGGAUAACUAGCCGAAAGGUUAGCUAAUACCGCAUAUUCUCUACGGAGGAAAGCAGGGGAUCCGCAAGGACCUUGCGCUCGCGGAGUGGCCUAUCUCCGAUUAGCUAGNGGUGAGGUAAAGGCUUACCAAGGCGACGAUCGGUAGCUGGUCUGAGAGGAUGAUCAGCCACACUGGGACUGAGACACGGCCCAGACUCCUACGGGAGGCAGCAGUGGGGAA